RNAcentral lists this ribosomal RNA (274 nucleotides) under uncultured bacterium. RNAcentral describes it as "partial 16S ribosomal RNA". It matches the Rfam family "Bacterial small subunit ribosomal RNA", at positions 523 to 796 of the family's 1533-position model. The record is from RNAcentral.
AUACGGAGGGUGCAGGCGUUACUCGGAAUCACUGGGCGUAAAGCGCGCGCAGGCGGUCUUUUAAGUUGGAUGUGAAAGCCUACGGCUCAACCGUAGAACUGCAUCCAAAACUAUUAGACUAGAGUGGGGGAGAGGAAGAUGGAAUUAGUUGUGUAGGGGUAAAAUCCGUAGAGAUAACUAGGAAUACCAAAAGCGAAGGCAAUCUUCUGGAACACUACUGACGCUGAGGCGCGAAAGCGUGGGGAGCAAACGGGAUUAGAAACCCGAGUAGUCC